ACGAACGCUGGCGGCGUGCUUAACACAUGCCAGUCGCACGGAAAGGCCCUGCUUUUGUGGGGUGCUCGAGUGGCGAACGGGUGAGUAACACGUGAGUAACCUGCCCUUGACUUUGGGAUAACUUCAGGAAACUGGGGCUAAUACCGGAUAGGAGCUCCUGCUGCAUGGUGGGGGUUGGAAAGUUUCGGCGGUUGGGGAUGGACUCGCGGCUUAUCAGCUUGUUGGUGGGGUAGUGGCUUACCAAGGCUUUGACGGGUAGCCGGCCUGAGAGGGUGACCGGCCACCAUGGGGAUUAAGAAAGGGCCCAACCUCUUCGGGGGGGAGGCGGGGGGGAAUAUUGCACAUGGGGGGAAGCCUUGUUGAAGAACCGCGCGGGGGGGAAGAAGGCCCUUCGGGUUGAAAACGCCUUUCGCUUGUAAGAAGGGGUAGGGAACGGUAUGGGUUAAGGAGGAACGGGCAACCUACGU
This 467-nucleotide ribosomal RNA is filed under the name uncultured bacterium. RNAcentral's name for it is "partial 16S ribosomal RNA". It matches the Rfam family "Bacterial small subunit ribosomal RNA", at positions 29 to 506 of the family's 1533-position model. The record is from RNAcentral.